Molecule: long non-coding RNA, 611 nt
Filed under: Heterocephalus glaber (naked mole-rat)
Lineage: Eukaryota; Metazoa; Chordata; Mammalia; Rodentia; Bathyergidae
Description: lncRNA (ENSHGLG00100034044.1)
Source: RNAcentral
CGGGGGAGUGUGUUUGUGUGUGGGGGUGGGUGUGAGUGCCCGGCACACACGCACGCACACACACACACACGCACACUCCGGCAGGCUCGUCUGAACUUGAAGACACCCCGCAUUCCAAGAUGCCCGAGGUUCCUGGGAAUGCCCAGGGUUCUGCGCUCCGGAAAAUCCCGCUGGCAUCUUCCUAAGAAGGAAUUAUCUUCUCUUUGCUUUUUUUUUUUUUUUUUUUAAUCUGGAGGAGAGGAGAACAAGUUGUGCUUUCCCCUCCCCUUCUUCCUGGUAAAUGCCAUGGAUAUAUCCGAAUAAGCCGCUCAGGGCUCUCCCCGCGUGGACGUCGGAGGCCACCAUCUGCCCGCAGUCGCCGGAGCCCGAGGGCUUAGUUGGAGCCCGACUUGGGCGAGGGAAGGAUGCGCGGCCGAGCCAGGGAGCCCGGCCGCCCCGCGGAGCCGGCCUCAGAGCCUCCCAGCCGGGGGUAGAUGCUGCCCUGCCCAGGGCUGUGGUCAGAGGCUUUGCAGCUCUGGCCUCAGCAGCAGACACUGGGGACCUGGAUGAAGAGGUGGAGCGCCCCCUCUCCUCGGGUCAGCCUUGGUGGGCUACCCCAGCCUCUAUGCUCA